This 495-nucleotide ribosomal RNA is filed under the name uncultured bacterium. Its description in RNAcentral is "partial 16S ribosomal RNA". It matches the Rfam family "Bacterial small subunit ribosomal RNA", at positions 30 to 523 of the family's 1533-position model. The record is from RNAcentral.
AUUGAACGCUGGCGGCAGGCUUAACACAUGCAAGUCGAGCGGUAGAGAUUCUUCGGAAUCUUGAGAGCGGCGUACGGGUGCGGAACACGUGUGCAACCUGCCUUUAUCUGGGGGAUAGCCUUUCGAAAGGAAGAUUAAUACCCCAUAAUAUUUUAAGUGGCAUCAUUUAAAAUUGAAAACUCCGGUGGAUAGAGAUGGGCACGCGCAAGAUUAGAUAGUUGGUGAGGUAACGGCUCACCAAGUCAGUGAUCUUUAGGGGGCCUGAGAGGGUGAUCCCCCAGACUGGUACUGAGACACGGACCAGACUCCUACGGGGGGCAGCAGUGAGGAAUAUUGGACAAUGGGUGAGAGCCUGAUCCAGCCAUCCCGCGUGAAGGACGACGGCCCUAUGGGUUGUAAACUUCUUUUGUACAGGGAUAAACCUAUUCACGUGUAAGUAGCUGAAGGUACUGUACGAAUAAGCACCGGCUAACUCCGUGCCAGCCGCCGCAGUAA